AUGACCAGGGCAAGUUCCUGCCUCCACCGCAUCAGAGGCUUCACCGCGGGUCCGUGGCCACCUUGGCCAAGCCCGGUGCUGCACGCCGCUGUUGCCUUUCUGCUGACGGGCCGCUGUUGCCUCUCCCUGUUUCCCCUGCAAAGCUUCACCUAUGUGUCCUCACCCUCUGCCUCAUCUCAGUCUCCCGGGGCACGCUCUCCCUGUCCUUCUUCCCUCGUUCUUCCACCUGAGAAGGCGCCUCACCAGCGCCCGGCCUCGCCGUCGCGCCUCCCCACGCCUGCGCACGCUCCGCCCCGCUGGUGCGCCGCUCGCCGGAGCCGAGCACCGCCGCCGCCCUACCCCGCUUCCCCCUGCUCCCCUUUCCUCUUGUCUCUCUCUAACCUCUUUCUCUCUCCCAUGGACGCCUGGAGCUCCCUCGCCGGCCGAUGCUCCGCCUUGCCCCGCGGCCUACAGAUGCGGCCGGCCACCCCGCCGGAGCCGAGCGCCGCCGCCGCCCCAGGUGAGCAGCGCCGCUGCCCUACCCCGUUUCCCCUCGCUCCCCCUUCCUCUUGUCUCUCUCUAACCUCUCUUUCCCCGCCCCAGGUGAGCAGCGUCGCCGCCCUGCCCCGUUUCCACCCCACGGCCUACAGAUCCGGCCGGCCUCCAUUGCCCUUGUCGUUCCCGUGCCCGGAUCUGGCCGGAGUUCACCGCCACCGUGCCCGCCCGUGUCGGCAACGUGGCGGCCUCCUCAGCCUCGAGGGCGAGCUCCCAGUUGACCGCGUCCGCCGCCGCGACGCCUCGGUCCACCGCGGCCUUCAAUGCCCGCCGCGACGCCUCUGUACGCCGCGCUCUACAACGCCAGUCGCGACACCUCGCCCCAUUCCUGGGCUCUGGCGGCGCUCACGUCCGCCGCGACGCAUCCCCUGCCUUGCUUGUGCGGUGUCGACGCCGGCGACAAGCGGUUCAGUAGAGGCAGGGUGUUUUUUGCAAAAAAACAAACGUUAUCUACAAUUUAAGUAG
This 999-nucleotide ribosomal RNA is filed under the name Triticum aestivum (bread wheat). RNAcentral's name for it is "partial small subunit ribosomal RNA". The record is from RNAcentral. Lineage: Eukaryota; Viridiplantae; Streptophyta; Magnoliopsida; Poales; Poaceae.